GACGAACGCUGGCGGCGUGCUUAACACAUGCAAGUCGAACUAUGAAGCCGGAGCUUGCUCCGGUGGAUUAGUGGCGAACGGGUGAGUAACACGUGAGCAAUCUGCCCUUGACUCUGGGAUAACUGCGGGAAACUGUAGCUAAUACCGGAUACGACACCUUGGGGCAUCCCAGGGUGUGGAAAGAAUUUCGGUCAAGGAUGAGCUCGCGGCCUAGCAGCUAGUUGGUGAGGUAAUGGCUCACCAAGGCGACGACGGGUAGCCGGCCUGAGAGGGUGACCGGCCACACUGGAACUGAGACACGGUCCAGACUCCUACGGGAGGCAGCAGUGGGGAAUAUUGCACGAUGGGCGAAAGCCUGAUGCAGCAACGCCGCGUGAGGGAUGAAGGCCUUCGGGUUGUAAACCUCUUUUAGCAGGGAAGAAGCGAAAGUGACGGUACCUGCAGAAAAAGCACCGGCUAACUACGUGCCAGCAGCCGCCGUAA
Molecule: ribosomal RNA, 483 nt
Filed under: uncultured bacterium
Lineage: Bacteria
Description: partial 16S ribosomal RNA
Rfam family: Bacterial small subunit ribosomal RNA
Source: RNAcentral